RNAcentral lists this ribosomal RNA (523 nucleotides) under uncultured cyanobacterium. Its description in RNAcentral is "bacterial SSU rRNA". It matches the Rfam family "Bacterial small subunit ribosomal RNA", at positions 157 to 712 of the family's 1533-position model. The record is from RNAcentral. Lineage: Bacteria; Bacillati; Cyanobacteriota.
CGGUGGCUAAUACCGCCAUGAGCCGAAAGGUAAAAAAUUUAUUGCCCACAGAUGAGCUCGCGUCUGAUUACCUAGUUGGUAAGGUAAAAGCGUACCACGGCGACGAUCAGCAGCUGGUCUGAGAGGAUGAGCAGCCACCCUGGGACUGAGACACGGCCCACACUCCUACGGGAGGCAGCAGUGGGGAAUUUUCCGCAAUGGGCGAAAGCCUGACGGAGCAAGACCGCCUGGGGGAGGAAGGUUUUUGGAUCGUAAACCCCUUUUGUCAAGGAAGAAGUUCUGACGGCACUUGACGAAUAAGCCUCGGCUAACUCCGUGCCAGCAGCCGCGGUAAUACGGAGGAGGCAAGCGUUAUCCGCAAUGAUUGGGCGUAAAGCGUCUGUAGGUGGCCAGCUAAGUCUGCUGUUAAAGAUCACAGCUCAACUGUGGGAAGGCAGUGGAAACUGGCAAGCUAGAGGCUGGUAGGGGUAAAGGGAAUUCUCGGUGUAGCGGUGAAAUGCGUAGAUAUCGGGAAGAACACCGG